AGCCCCCAAUUGCCCCUUGGUUCUCUUCUCCCUUAGCGCCGCCGCAGCCGCUAGCUCUGCUACCGCCGCCCUCCGUCGCGGCCGUUCCUCGUCUUCCCCUCGCCGGAGCACCUGCGCAGCUGCCAUCUGCGCGCCAUCGCGGGUGCCAGGGAGACCUAGCCUCCACACCCUCUGCCGGCUCAUCCGGCGAUCGCCUGCGGCUCCUCAACUCCCGGCUCCUCCGCCGAUGCCUCCCAACUCGCGGCCCCGUCUCCGCCUCGGUUUUGCCACCCGAAUGGCGAGGCAACAACGUAUGCUGGAGACGAACUCUACGGAGCAAACCUCCGAGACUCCCACCAUGGAUAGCUGGGCUGAUGUGGCUGCCAGCAUCGACAGGGACUCAAUGGAGUCGAGUUGCUAUGAGAGGAUCGCGGCCCUGAGGAGCAUCGGGGAUCAGUGCGUCUAUGCGGAUGAAUUCCGGCUCCUGCUCCAGAAGAAGAAUGCUCCCAUUUGCUACGUUUGGUUUGAGCCAACCCCCUGGAUGGACAUAACCCAGGGGCUUCUGAAAACAAUUUAUGUCAACAAGAUGGUCAAAGCUGGUUACAUAGUUAAAAUAUUGAUAGCAGAUUGGUUUGCCCAACGGAACCAUAGGAUUUGCAGCAAUAAAUAUGUAAUAAGGAAAAUUGGCUGCUACAAUAUUGAGAUGUGGAAAGCAGCUGGCAUGGAUCUUGACAGAGUAGAGCUUGUAUGGUUCUCAGAUGUGUUGGAAAGGCAUGCAUCUGAUUACUGGCCACUUGCCCUGGAUGUGUCCAGAAAAUGCACUCUAAAAAGAAUGGCAAGCUGUUGCACGGAAACAGCCCCAUAUGACGCGCGACUGCCUGCUGCUGUGAUAUUUUACCCAUGCAUGCAAGUUGCUGCUAUAUUAUGUCCGAAGUUGCAGGCGGAUAUAUGGCUCUUCAGCAUGGAUCAGCAAGAAAUUGUCAUGCUAACCAGAGAGUAUUGUGAAGACAUAAAAAGCGAAAGCAAACCAACUAUUAUGUUGCACAAUACACUACCUAAUUUAGUAGAUAAUCCUUAUAUUGUACUAAAGGACCCUUAUAACAUGAGGGAACCAAAAUGGAACAUCUUCAUGCACGAUAAGGAGUGCGCUUUGAAUGGAAAAAUAAGCAGGGCUGUCUGUCCUCCAAAAGUAGCAGUAUGCAACCCAUGUUUGGAGUACAUCAAAUAUGUUAUCUUCCCUUGGUUUGGGAAGUUUGAGGUAGCGCAGAAGGAACAGAGUGGUGUUAACAAGUCAUUUGAAUGCAUGGAAGAUCUUAUUGUUGAUUAUGAAAGUGGCCAUCUUGAUCCUCUCAACGUUAAGUUGGCUUUUGAAAAAGGAAUAUGCAAAAUAUUAGAGGGAGGAGCAAUCUCCACUCCUGGUGGCGGCAUCGAUCUUUAUCUAGAUGUAGUGGUAGCUCGUUCCUUAUUGUCUCAUGUGGCCAUGUGUUCCUUUGGCGAGCUUCUCUCGUAUCCCUAUGGUAGCAGCAGCUUGUCUUCGUCUUCCUCGACAGCAAGGUCGUCUUCGCGGGCCAAACUGUCCGGGUGUGUAUCCUUUGUCCUCUCCCCAUUUCUGGCAUUGAUUUUGUUCGGACUUGAGCUCAUUAUCGCUGUCAAUCUCCAUCCUCGUCUGAUCUGGUCGACUUGGAGGCAUGGUUUGGCCAUCUGCAUCACCGUUCUGGCCGGAUCUGUUGAUGCCAGGUUGUGGCUUUCUAACUCGUCUGGACCGCGCUGCCCGGUAUCCUCUAGGUAACAGGCGGCUCAUCUUCUUCUACUGCCACUUGUCGCUGGGCUACAUUAGCACGCCCUUGGGUGGUAGAAGCUACCCUGCAGGCUUGGCCCAUUGCAGCGGUAGCCCUUCCCGUCGUCGGCAGCUUCCCCAGAUCAGAGCUUGUUGCUGCUCUUUAUCCAGCGUCAUCGCCAGCCCGUGCAUAUCAAUAUAUCAUCACCAGCUCCGGAACCGUCCUGCUGAUGCUGGUGUGUCGCAGUCGCUGCCACACACAAGAAGAAGAGCUGACUGCAAGUUGCAACGCUAUCACUUGUACUGGGUGUCGGGCCUUGCUGCGAUGUUGAUGCUGGGUGAGGUUCUUCUGCACUGGGUCAUUUUUGCCAUGGUUCUACUGUCAUGUUUGCUCAAUGGUUUGUAGGGAUGGUUAUAUGUGUGCUGGUGUGCUGCUUCACUUCUGCCUGCUCUUCUCUGUUCUGCUGCAUGUUCGUCCAUAAUCACUGUUGCUGCAUCUUUAUGUCCAUUGCCAUCGUGUCCAUCAUCCAUCUGACUCCAUCCAAGUCAUCUCAUUUUGAAUCUGUCUGCAUGGCGGGGAAUUCAUCCAUUUCACCGUAAAUCAUUUAGUCGCUUUUUUGGGGGUUUCCCAUGGUCUUUUCAAUUGAAUCGAGCUCGGUGCCCCUAUCAUUGUUGUUGAUGUGACUUUGCCUCUCGGUCCUUUCUGUAGCCUUUUCUGUGACCUGACAUUGUCCGUCGCCUUCUUACUGGUCACUUGUUGCUACUUUCGACAUAUCGCUUCCUUAUCACCAUCUGCACGACUUGGCCGGAUUGUCCCUUUCAUCUUGGUCAGGAGGACCUUCGUUGGCUAAAUUAAGCAGAUAUUUAUUCUUGUUGGUUUCCAACAUCUCCAACCAAGUUGUCUGAUGAACAAUCUGUGAAAGCUUUGGAUUACCAUUUUGGAGGAGUUGGCACAUUGGAAUAUUAAGGGUAUAAGUGGGUGGCACCUCUAAUGUGUAAGGCAUGUUGGUACCUGCCUGAACAGCAACGCCGAAGCCCAAGCUCUAAUUAUUGACCUUAUGGGUCAUAUCAGGCGAAUAGAGUCCGUAGAUAUCCAUGAGUUUCACUGGUAGAACAGAAAUUAUCUGAUCCU
Molecule: non-coding RNA, 2888 nt
Organism: Triticum urartu
Lineage: Eukaryota; Viridiplantae; Streptophyta; Magnoliopsida; Poales; Poaceae
Source: RefSeq, a predicted model, not a curated record